This 253-nucleotide ribosomal RNA is filed under the name uncultured bacterium. RNAcentral describes it as "partial 16S ribosomal RNA". It matches the Rfam family "Bacterial small subunit ribosomal RNA", at positions 524 to 776 of the family's 1533-position model. The record is from RNAcentral.
UACAUAGGGCGCAAGCGUUAUCCGGAAUUAUUGGGCGUAAAGAGCUCGUAGGCGGUUUGUCGCGUCUGCCGUGAAAGUCCGGGGCUCAACUCCGGAUCUGCGGUGGGUACGGGCAGACUAGAGUGAUGUAGGGGAGACUGGAAUUCCUGGUGUAGCGGUGAAAUGCGCAGAUAUCAGGAGGAACACCGAUGGCGAAGGCAGGUCUCUGGGCAUUAACUGACGCUGAGGAGCGAAAGCGUGGGGAGCGAACAGG